Oncorhynchus mykiss (rainbow trout) is the source of this 1598-nucleotide non-coding RNA. The record is from RefSeq and is a predicted model, not a curated record. NCBI's taxonomy places the organism in Eukaryota, Metazoa, Chordata, Actinopteri, Salmoniformes, Salmonidae.
AUUUGACUUCUGUCAUGGCCGCCAGCAUUUCUUGAGGAGCAAGCUAAAAAAAACUAGGCCAAAUCAGCUCCCCUUUAAUUAAGGCAGAGGAGUUGGGUUAGCAUGUGAGUUCAAAUCCAAACCCAGGCCUCGGAUGAAGAUUUUUCAGAACUGCGUCCGUCUCUUCUAUGGCUGGGAGGUUGUAAUUUGUUACAGGCGGCGAGGCUGGGCGGUCCAGGACCUCUGUCUUAUCUGGACAGGGGAUCACUAGCAAAUCAUAUCAGAGAUAUGUGGUGCUCCCCAGACCAGUGUUGAGGCAGGGAUGGACAACACUGUUCAUCUGAGCUUGCCCCUCUCCUCUGCACUCAGUGAUGUCCAGCCCCCAUAUACACCCAUUGACUCGAUUGUGCUGAUGUCCCACUGUAAGAACUUGGAGAUGUUCACUGGUUCUUAGGGAGGUGACCUGGCCACCAAUGGUUCUGAGGGAGGUGACCUGGCCACCAAUGGUUCUGAGGGAGGUGACCUGGCCACCAAUGGUUCUGAGGGAGGUGACCUGGCCACCAAUGGUUCUGAGGGAGGUGACCUGGCCACCAACGGUGCCUAAGACACGUUCCAGCAUUACCGCUGUCUGAGCGUGUAAUGCUCAGACAGCCAGAGCGUGGUCAAGAACCCCUCCACAGACAUCUGCCACAAGAAACAUCUUGUCCUCUCGCAGGAAACAUCCUGUCCUCUCGCAGGAUACAUCCUGUCCGCUCGCAGGAGACAUCCUGUCCUCUCGCAGGAGACAUCCUGUCCUCUCACAGGAGACAUCCUGUCCGCUAGCAGGAGACAUCCUGUCCUCUCGUAGGAGACAUCCUGUCCGCUCGCAGGAGACAUCCUGUCCUCUCGUAGGAGACAUCCUGUCCGCUCGCAGGAGACAUCCUGUCCGCUCGCAGGAGACAGCUCGCAGGACACAUCCUGUCAGCUCGCAGGACCCAUCCUUUGCGCUCUCAGGAGACAUCCUUUGCGCUCUCGACUAGUCUGUGCUCUAGCGGCACUCAUCCUCUGUGCUCUAGCGGCACUCAUCCUCUGUGCUCUAGCGGCACUCAUCCACUGCUCGCGGGACCCAUCCACUGCUCGCGGGACCCAUCCACUGCUCGCGGGACCCAUCCACUGCUCGUGGGACCCAUCCACUGCUCGCGGGACCCAUCCACUGCUCGCGGGACCCAUCCACUGCUCGCGGGACCCAUCCUCUGUGCUCUCGGCUCAGUGUUUGCUUGCUCAAUAAUGUUUCAUCUUGCUCAAUAGAGCCAUAUUGUGUGCAAUGGACUUUAGAGGCUCAUUUGACGCCGUAAACAGAUCGCAGAUACAAAUAAAAUGAUGAUAUUGUGGAUAAUAUGUUUAUUUGUCAAAGGGCAGUCAAGCAUCUCACCAGAAUAAUACCUUGGAUAUUUAUUGGAAAAGAGCAUCAAGCUCAUCACCGUGCACUUUCACCACCCUGUGAAGUUCAUCAUAACUUAUUUUAAUCUGUACCUAAUAAACUGUAUGCUUCCUGAAUUGUAGUGGGAGGACCACACACCAUAUUAUUGCGUGACUCUAAGUUUACUUCGAUAUGAUCAUUAUAUCAAUAUCUGCUAAUA